RNAcentral lists this non-coding RNA (45 nucleotides) under Schistosoma haematobium. The record is from RNAcentral. Lineage: Eukaryota; Metazoa; Platyhelminthes; Trematoda; Strigeidida; Schistosomatidae.
AUCUAGCUGGUGAGUUCCGAAUAGGACGAAACACACGUCCUGGAU